UUUUUUUCUUUUUCCCUCCUGAAAAGCAAGUUGCCACAUGUACCUGGAAUGCAAAGAUGCAAUCCAGUUGUUCCUCUUAAAAAGCAUUUUUUAAAGAGAGAAUAUCUGAUCUGGAAUAGUUGAUUUAUAUUUCACUCCUGUCUGUCUUUGCUAAUUUCUCUCUUAGAGCCAUAUUAGAGUAGUUUGAAAUAUUUUAUCAGUAAUAAUAUAUUAACAGGGAAAAUGAUCAACCUGGGGCACUGGUUCUCAUAAUUCCUAUUUAGAUCAUGUAUUUUUUUUAACUUAAUUUUUUUGUAAGUUUUUACAAACCAAAUGUUAAUGCAUAUGCUUGAUUGCUAACCACCUCUGGGCAUCAAACCUGUUUUUUCGUGAGUGCAAUAAGUGAUUAUCCAACUCAUGCUGCUCUGAAAAAGAGGUUUUGUUUUAAUAAGCAGUUUGCAGUUUGGCACACAAUGCUGAGGAAAGCAACAUUAUCUCCAGCAGUAAACUCUGCAGUCAUUGCAAAGCUUGACAAGAAAAUGAUUGAGUCUGUUUGUUAUACCUUUGUGGGGCUGCCACUGCUGCUGAUGGAAAUGUUGCUGUUUAUUCAGCAAUGCAAUAACACUUUCUGUAAUUUAUGGAUGCACAUUCCCCAGAUUACUAAAGGUAAUAUUGUUGACUAAAGGAAAGUAUACGAAUGGAUAGUUUCAGUUGUUCCUGUCCUUAUAAAAGUGAUUGACUGUUCACUUUGCACUGAGAAGAAUUUGCACAGGCUUUUCCCCUCCUAACAAUUACAGAUUUCCCUUCCACUGACAGUUACAAAUAACACAGAGGGUUCUAAGUGGCAAAAAUGUACUGACUUCCACAAGUCCAGGUGACAAAAUCCUAGAAAUGCUAGAACUUGCCCCUCCACAGGUUGUGUUUAUACUUUUUAUCAGCCCUUUUCCAUCAGUAACAAGUUCUGUCCCUAUAUGCAAGCAAGUUAAGACUUUUUUUUGUUGUAUUUGUACACAUGGAAGGGGUUGAAAAGUUGAGGGCGGUGUGUGUGUAUUUGUCUAUCUCUCUCCUCCUCUCCAUCCCAACGUAUUUUUUGAGAAGCAAUACCUAUUCACCUGGAUGCCCUUUUGUGACCAUGCAUGUUAAACAAGAACUGUCUAUGCUGUGGAAUUGGCAUGGGAAAAAAAUCAAUGUCGCACUUAUGGUUACCAAAUCUGGGGAAGCAGACAACUCCAGCAAUGCUAAAAUUCAUGCCUUUGCUCUUCCAACAGAAGAAAUCAGAUUUUGGCGUCCAUAGACAAGUUCUCUCUUUUGUCCCUCCUCAGUGAUGGCUCAGGUGUUGGUGCACUGCUUCAGCAGCUUUAGAAUGCCUCUUCCAGUGGUUGUCAUUUUAUGAGAAAGUUUCUAAGCCCACUUAGUACUUGUAUUAUCUCAUAUUGUACUAUAAAAGUGUUGAUAUUCUGUGUUGAAAAAUGUUAGGUGUAAAGGAAGAUUUGAAGAAACAAAAUGGAAAAAAA
This 1493-nucleotide long non-coding RNA is filed under the name Strigops habroptila (Kakapo). RNAcentral's name for it is "lncRNA (ENSSHBG00005020790.1)". The record is from RNAcentral. Lineage: Eukaryota; Metazoa; Chordata; Aves; Psittaciformes; Psittacidae.